RNAcentral lists this ribosomal RNA (107 nucleotides) under Pseudogymnoascus roseus. RNAcentral's name for it is "partial 5.8S ribosomal RNA". It matches the Rfam family "5.8S ribosomal RNA", at positions 50 to 154 of the family's 154-position model. Rfam says of the family: 5.8S ribosomal RNA (5.8S rRNA) is a component of the large subunit of the eukaryotic ribosome. It is transcribed by RNA polymerase I as part of the 45S precursor that also contains 18S and 28S rRNA. Lineage: Eukaryota; Fungi; Ascomycota; Leotiomycetes; Thelebolales; Thelebolaceae. The record is from RNAcentral.
GAAAUGCGAUAAGUAAUGUGAAUUGCAGAAUUCAGUGAAUCAUCGAAUCUUUGAACGCACAUUGCGCCCCCUGGUAUUCCGGGGGGCAUGCCUGUCCGAGCGUCAUU